RNAcentral lists this long non-coding RNA (313 nucleotides) under Gallus gallus (chicken). RNAcentral's name for it is "lncRNA (ENSGALG00010018575.1)". Lineage: Eukaryota; Metazoa; Chordata; Aves; Galliformes; Phasianidae. The record is from RNAcentral.
GGGGGACCCAAAGGCCUGGCUGUGCUGGGGAUGCGGUGGGGCUGCUUUGAGGCCUGCUCAAGCUGGGGACACCCCAAGGCCUGACUGUGGUGGGGACACCUCACGUCCUGACAUGGGGACACCCCACGGCCUGCCCAGGAUGGGGGGACCCAAAAGCCUGGCCGUGGUGGAGAUGUGGUGGGGCUACCUGAGGGUCUAGAUGUGUUAGGGUCAUUCUGUGGCCUGCCCAGCUGGGGACACUGUGGGGACACCCAAAGGCCUGCCCAGGCUGGGGAUGGGAAGGGCUGAGCCCCCCCACUACGCUGCUCUGGCG